UACGAAGGGGGCUAGCGUUGCUCGGAAUCACCGGGCGUAAAGCGCACGUAGGCGGAUUGUUAAGUCAGGGGUGAAAUCCUGGAGCUCAACUCCAGAACUGCCUUUGAUACUGACGAUCUCGAGUCCGGGAGAGGUGAGUGGAACUGCGAGUGUAGAGGUGAAAUUCGUAGAUAUUCGCAAGAACACCAGUGGCGAAGGCGGCUCACUGGCCCGGUACUGACGCUGAGGUGCGAAAGCGUGGGGAGCAAACAGG
This 253-nucleotide ribosomal RNA is filed under the name uncultured bacterium. RNAcentral describes it as "partial 16S ribosomal RNA". It matches the Rfam family "Bacterial small subunit ribosomal RNA", at positions 524 to 776 of the family's 1533-position model. The record is from RNAcentral.